CCUUAGAGUUUGAUCCUGGCUCAGGACGAACGCUGGCGGCGUGCCUAAUACAUGCAAGUAGAACGCUGAAGAGAGGAGCUUGCUCUUCUUGGAUGAGUUGCGAACGGGUGAGUAACGCGUAGGUAACCUGCCUUGUAGCGGGGGAUAACUAUUGGAAACGAUAGCUAAUACCGCAUAACAAUGGAUGACACAUGUCAUUUAUUUGAAAGGGGCAAUUGCUCCACUACAAGAUGGACCUGCGUUGUAUUAGCUAGUAGGUGAGGUAACGGCCCACCUAGGCGACGAUACAUAGCCGACCUGAGAGGGUGAUCGGCCACACUGGGACUGAGACACGGCCCAGACUCCUACGGGAGGCAGCAGUAGGGAAUCUUCGGCAAUGGGGGCAACCCUGACCGAGCAACGCCGCGUGAGUGAAGAAGGUUUUCGGAUCGUAAAGCUCUGUUGUAAGUCAAGAACGAGUGUGAGAGUGGAAAGUUCACACUGUGACGGUAGCUUACCAGAAAGGGACGGCUAACUACGUGCCAGCAGCCGCGGUAAUACGUAGGUCCCGAGCGUUGUCCGGAUUUAUUGGGCGUAAAGCGAGCGCAGGCGGUUUGAUAAGUCUGAAGUUAAAGGCUGUGGCUCAACCAUAGUUCGCUUUGGAAACUGUCAAACUUGAGUGCAGAAGGGGAGAGUGGAAUUCCAUGUGUAGCGGUGAAAUGCGUAGAUAUAUGGAGGAACACCGGUGGCGAAAGCGGCUCUCUGGUCUGUAACUGACGCUGAGGCUCGAAAGCGUGGGGAGCGAACAGGAUUAGAUACCCUGGUAGUCCACGCCGUAAACGAUGAGUGCUAGGUGUUGGAUCCUUUCCGGGAUUCAGUGCCGCAGCUAACGCAUUAAGCACUCCGCCUGGGGAGUACGACCGCAAGGUUGAAACUCAAAGGAAUUGACG
This 929-nucleotide ribosomal RNA is filed under the name uncultured bacterium. RNAcentral describes it as "bacterial SSU rRNA". It matches the Rfam family "Bacterial small subunit ribosomal RNA", at positions 1 to 915 of the family's 1533-position model. The record is from RNAcentral.